UACGUAGGCAGCGAGCGUUGUUCGGAGUUACUGGGCGUAAAGAGUGCGUAGGCGGUUUUCUAAGUUGGUGUGAAAUCUCCCGGCUUAACUGGGAGGGUGCGCCGAAAACUGGAAGGCUUGAGUAUGGGAGAGGUAAGCGGAAUUCCUGGUGUGAGCGGUGAAAUGCGUAGAUAUCAGGAGGAACACCUGCGGUGUAGACGGCUUACUGGACCAUAACUGACGCUGAGGCACGAAGCGUGGGUAGCAAACAGG
RNAcentral lists this ribosomal RNA (252 nucleotides) under uncultured bacterium. RNAcentral's name for it is "partial 16S ribosomal RNA". It matches the Rfam family "Bacterial small subunit ribosomal RNA", at positions 524 to 776 of the family's 1533-position model. The record is from RNAcentral.